UGGGGAAUAUUGGACAAUGGGCGGAAGCCUGAUCCAGCAACGCCGCGUGAGGGAUGACGGCCUUCGGGUUGCAAACCUCUUUCAGUACCGACGAAGCGGAAGUGACGGUAGGUACAGAAGAAGCACCGGCCAACUACGUGCCAGCAGCCGCGGUAAUACGUAGGGUGCGAGCGUUGUCCGGAAUUAUUGGGCGUAAAGGGCUCGUAGGCGGUUUGUCGCGUCGGGAGUGAAAACACUGGGCUUAACUCAGUGCUUGCUUCCGAUACGGGCAGACUAGAGGCAUGCAGGGGAGAACGGAAUUCCUGGUGUAGCGGUGAAAUGCGCAGAUAUCAGGAGGAACACCGGUGGCGAAGGCGGUUCUCUGGGCAUGUCCUGACGCUGAGGAGCGAAAGUGUGGGGAGCGAACAGGAUUAGAUACCCUGGUAGUCCACAACCGUAAACGUUGGGCGCUAGGUGUGGGGCCUAUUCCAUGGGUUCCGUGCCGCAGCUAACACAUUAAGCGCCCCGCCUGGGGAGUACGGCCGCAAGGCUAAAAACUCAAAUGAAUUG
This 549-nucleotide ribosomal RNA is filed under the name uncultured bacterium. RNAcentral's name for it is "partial 16S ribosomal RNA". It matches the Rfam family "Bacterial small subunit ribosomal RNA", at positions 355 to 912 of the family's 1533-position model. The record is from RNAcentral.